RNAcentral lists this transfer RNA (57 nucleotides) under Rattus norvegicus (Norway rat). It matches the Rfam family "tRNA", at positions 8 to 63 of the family's 71-position model. Rfam says of the family: Transfer RNA (tRNA) molecules are approximately 80 nucleotides in length. Their secondary structure includes four short double-helical elements and three loops (D, anti-codon, and T loops). The record is from Rfam by way of RNAcentral. Lineage: Eukaryota; Metazoa; Chordata; Mammalia; Rodentia; Muridae.
UGGCUCAGUGGUUAGAGCACUGACUGCUCUUCCAGAGGUCCUGAGUUCAAAUCUCAG